This 84-nucleotide transfer RNA is filed under the name Candidatus Doudnaibacteriota bacterium. Its description in RNAcentral is "Candidatus Doudnabacteria bacterium tRNA-Leu". It matches the Rfam family "tRNA". From Rfam's summary of the family: Transfer RNA (tRNA) molecules are approximately 80 nucleotides in length. Their secondary structure includes four short double-helical elements and three loops (D, anti-codon, and T loops). The record is from RNAcentral. Lineage: Bacteria; Candidatus Doudnaibacteriota.
GCCCGGGUGGUGGAAUGGUAUACACGGCGGACUUAAAAUCCGCUGCUCUUAACAAGCUUGUGGGUUCGAGUCCCACCCCGGGUA